RNAcentral lists this ribosomal RNA (675 nucleotides) under Shinella zoogloeoides. Its description in RNAcentral is "bacterial SSU rRNA". It matches the Rfam family "Bacterial small subunit ribosomal RNA", at positions 1 to 730 of the family's 1533-position model. Lineage: Bacteria; Pseudomonadati; Pseudomonadota; Alphaproteobacteria; Hyphomicrobiales; Rhizobiaceae. The record is from RNAcentral.
UAGAGUUUGAUCAUGGCUCAGAACGAACGCUGGCGGCAGGCUUAACACAUGCAAGUCGAACGCCCCGCAAGGGGAGUGGCAGACGGGUGAGUAACGCGUGGGAAUCUACCCAACUCUACGGAAUAACUCAGGGAAACUUGUGCUAAUACCGUAUACGCCCUUCGGGGGAAAGAUUUAUCGGAGUUGGAUGAGCCCGCGUUGGAUUAGCUAGUUGGUGGGGUAAAGGCCUACCAAGGCGACGAUCCAUAGCUGGUCUGAGAGGAUGAUCAGCCACAUUGGGACUGAGACACGGCCCAAACUCCUACGGGAGGCAGCAGUGGGGAAUAUUGGACAAUGGGCGCAAGCCUGAUCCAGCCAUGCCGCGUGAGUGAUGAAGGCCCUAGGGUUGUAAAGCUCUUUCACCGGUGAAGAUAAUGACGGUAACCGGAGAAGAAGCCCCGGCUAACUUCGUGCCAGCAGCCGCGGUAAUACGAAGGGGGCUAGCGUUGUUCGGAAUUACUGGGCGUAAAGCGCACGUAGGCGGGUAUUUAAGUCAGGGGUGAAAUCCCGGAGCUCAACUCCGGAACUGCCUUUGAUACUGGGUACCUAGAGUAUGGAAGAGGUAAGUGGAAUUCCGAGUGUAGAGGUGAAAUUCGUAGAUAUUCGGAGGAACACCAGUGGCGAAGGCGGCUUACU